GAUGAAGAACGUAGCGAAAUGCGAUAAGUAAUGUGAAUUGCAGAAUUCAGUGAAUCAUCGAAUCUUUGAACGCACAUUGCGCCCGCCAGCAUUCUGGCGGGCAUGCCUGUUCGAGCGUCAUUUCAACCCUCGAGCCCCCCCGGGGGCCUCGGUGUUGGGGGACGGCACACCAGCCGCCCCCGAAAUGCAGUGUCGACCCCGCCGCAGCCUCCCCUGCGUAGUAGCACACACCUCGCACCGGAGCGCGGAGGCGGUCACGCCGUAAAACGCCCAACUUUCUUAGAGUUGACCUCGGAUCAGGUAGGAAUACCCGCUGAACUUAAGCAUAUCAAUAAGCGGAGGA
Molecule: unclassified non-coding RNA, 343 nt
Filed under: soil metagenome
Description: partial contains 5.8S ribosomal RNA, internal transcribed spacer 2, and large subunit ribosomal RNA
Rfam family: 5.8S ribosomal RNA (bases 1-120)
Source: RNAcentral